GUUUUUUGAAUAUAAUAAAAAAUUUAACCUGCUCAAUGAAUAAAUUUAAAUAGCUGCAGUAUUUUGACUGUACUAAGGUAGCAUAAUCAAUUGUUUUUUAAUUAAAAGCUGGAAUGAAUGGUUUAAUGAAAUAAAAUCUUUUUUAAAUUUAAAAUUUAAAAUUUUUUUAUUAGUAAAAAAGCUAAUAUAUUAUUAAAAGACGAGAAGACCCUAUAGAGUUUUAUAUAUAUAUUUAAUAAUUAAUUUAAUAUAAUAAAUUUUUAAAUAUUUAAUAUUUAGUUGGGGUGAUUAUUAAAAAUUAAAAAACUUUAAUUAAUUUUAAACAAAAAUGAUUGAAAUUAUUGAUCUUUAAUUUUUAAUUAAAAGAAUAAAUUACCUUAGGGAUAACAGUGUAAUUUUUUUUGAUAGUUCUUAUUGAUGAAAAAGUUUGC
This 431-nucleotide ribosomal RNA is filed under the name Hyposoter fugitivus. RNAcentral describes it as "partial 16S ribosomal RNA". Lineage: Eukaryota; Metazoa; Arthropoda; Insecta; Hymenoptera; Ichneumonidae. The record is from RNAcentral.